GCCUGCCCUGUGACCCCAAGUUUAACGGCCGCGGUAUCCUGACCGUGCAAAGGUAGCGCAAUCACUUGUCCCUUAAAUGAGGACCUGUAUGAAUGGCAUAACGAGGGCUUAACUGUCUCCUUUCCCCAGCCAAUGAAAUUGAUCUUCCCGUGCAGAAGCGGGAAUACUAACAUAAGACGAGAAGACCCUAUGGAGCUUUAGACACUAGGACAGACCAUGUCAGCUACCCCCACAAAGAAGUAGUAAUAAUUGAACCCCUGUUCUCCGUCUUCGGUUGGGGCGACCACGGGGAAUAAAAAAACCCCCACGUGGAUCGGGAGUACACCACUCCUAUAACCACGAGCCACCGCUCUAAAUAACAGAAUUUCUGACCAAAAAGAUCCGGCAACGCCGAUCAACGGACCCAGUUACCCUAGGGAUAACAGCGCAAUCCUCUUCAAGAGUCCAUAUCGAC
Molecule: ribosomal RNA, 454 nt
Filed under: Mugil curema (white mullet)
Lineage: Eukaryota; Metazoa; Chordata; Actinopteri; Mugiliformes; Mugilidae
Description: partial 16S ribosomal RNA
Rfam family: Bacterial large subunit ribosomal RNA
Source: RNAcentral